RNA transcript from Marmota monax (woodchuck), 6702 nucleotides. It is a transcript of the gene named transmembrane protein 260, with no coding region annotated. NCBI's taxonomy places the organism in Eukaryota, Metazoa, Chordata, Mammalia, Rodentia, Sciuridae. The transcript has 19 exons. The record is from RefSeq and is a predicted model, not a curated record.
GACUGUGGCCUCCGCGCGGAGUCUGUGGCCCAGCCGCGUCCUCUGUCCGUCCGAAUCCAUGGGUCUCCAUGGCGACGGCAGGGGUGGGGGGCGGGCAGCCGGAGCAGGGCUGCGGCGCUCCGGGGGCCUCGGCGGCGGCGUCACGGUAUUCGCCGCUGUAGCCUCAGUGUUCACCCUCACGCUGCCCGCCUCGGUGCCGGGGGGAGACUCGGGGGAACUGAUCACAGCCGCACAUGAGCUUGGAGUUGCCCAUCCUCCUGGCUAUCCUUUGUUCACACUGGUGGCUAAACUAGCAAUUACACUCUUUCCUUUUGGUUCAGUUGCCUACCGAGUCAAUCUUCUCUGUGGCUUAUUUGGAGCAGUAGCUGCAUCAUUACUUUUUUUCACCGUUUUCAGGCUUUCUGGCUCAUAUGCUGGAGGAAUCCUUGCUGCGGGGGUGUUUUCAUUUUCUCGUCUAACAUGGCAGUGGUCCAUCACAGCAGAGGUUUUUAGCUUAAACAAUCUGUUUGUGGGGCUGCUUAUGGCUCUUACUGUACAUUUUGAGGAGGCAGCAACUGCAAAGGAGAGAUCAAAGAUAGCUAAAAUCGGUGCUUUCUGCUGUGGCCUUAGCUUAUGUAAUCAGCACACAAUAGUCCUCUAUGUUUUAUGCAUAAUACCUUGGAUUCUCUUUCGACUUUUAAAAGAGAAGGAGCUAUCACUGGGCUUUUUGUUGAAUUUGAGUCUGUGUUUCUCUGCUGGUUUGCUGCCCUAUAUCUACCUUCCCAUCUCAUCCUACCUCAAUCAUGCUCGCUGGACUUGGGGAGACCAGACAACACUGCGAGGAUUUCUGACACAUUUUCUCAGGGAAGAAUAUGGAACAUUCAGCCUGGCCAAAUCUGAAAUAGGAUCCAGUAUGUCUGAAAUACUGGUUUCACAAGUAAUAAAUAUGAGGACCGAACUAUCGUACAACAUUCAAGCCCUUGCAGUUUGGGCAAAUAUAUGUCUAGCAAGAAAGGAGAGACAGAAUUCACCAUUAGUGUGGCUUUUUACUGGAAUGUUUUGCAUUUAUUCAUUGUUCUUCGCUUGGAGGGCAAAUUUAGAUAUUUCAAAACCACUGUUCAUGGGUGUGGUGGAACGAUUUUGGAUGCAAAGCAAUGCAGUGGUAGCCGUCCUCGCUGGCAUCGGUUUGGCUUCACUUGUGUCUAAGACUAACCAAGUGCUGAAUAGCAACGGGCUUCAGUGUCUGGAAUGGCUUUCAGCAACUCUUUUUGUAGUUUUCCAAAUAUAUUCUAAUUAUAGCAUUUGUGACCAAAGGACCAACACUGUGAUCGAUAAAUUUGCAAAGAACCUUCUAGAUUCUAUGCCACAUGAUGCAAUUAUCUUACUUAGAGGCGAUUUGCCAGGCAAUUCUCUCCGUUAUAUGCAUUACUGCGAAGGAUUGAGGCCAGAUAUUUCAUUAGUGGAUCAGGAAAUGAUGACUUAUGAGUGGUAUUUACCGAAAAUGGCAAAGCAUUUACCAGGUGUUCAUUUUCCUGGGAACCGGUGGAAUCCUGUGGAAGGAAUAUUACCCAGUGGAAUGGUCACAUUUAAUCUUUAUCAUUUUCUUGAAAUAAAUAAACAAAAAGAAACAUUUGUUUGCAUAGGAAUUCAUGAAGGUGACCCAACCUGGAAAAAGAACUAUUCACUUUGGCCGUGGGGGUCUUGUGACAAAUUAGUUCCUUCAGAGAUUGUAUUCAACCCUGAGGAAUGGAUUAAACUCACAAGAAAUAUCUACAACUGGACUGAAGAAUAUGGAAGGUUUGAUCCAUCUUCUUGGGAAUCUGUGGCCAAUGAAGAGAUGUGGCAAGCAAGGAUGAAAACACCGUUCUUCAUCUUCAGCCUGGCAGAAACUACUGAUAUGCCUUCAAAGGUGAAAACUCAGCUCUACUCUCAUGCAUAUAAGAUGGAAAUUUGAAGGAGAAUUAGAAGGCUUAGAGAUGGAAAAUUUGGAGAAGAAAAGAAUAAUGUCUUAAGAUUUCUGGAGGGGCUAACUGACGUGACAAUUCAGAACAUGUCAGCAUGCCUGUCACUCCCUCCACGAUCCUUAUCGCAAUGUGAGAUGGAUGAUUUCUAUGUGUUUUGCUUUGCGAGAGACACCAAGAAGAGUGACAUCAAUGUCAACAGUCUUGUCAGCCUCAGCAUCAUUCAUGGGAAGAGAAAUGGUCUCACUAUGUUGUACAGGCUGGUCUGAAACUUGUGAGCCCAGUUGAUCCACCUGUCUCAGCUUCCCGAGUAGCUAAGACUACAGAUGAGAAGGCUGAGACCCCACAGAAGUUAAGUGCCCUGCCCAGGUCAUUAUGGUGGUGGCAGAGUCCAGUUCCGGGAUCGCAUCUCCCAGCUCAGCACACAUCCAACUGAUGCCAUCUUGUCCUGGCUCCACUGGCCCUAGAAACCCAAAGUAUGGCACCAGCCUGUAGCCAGCAUCAUAAACUAAACAAAGACAGCCAAAUGCCACCCAAACCCAAAGCAGCAAUUUGCGUUGGCUGAAUAUCAAAUAAUCCUUUCUGUACCUAUUCUACCAACACUAUAGUACCAGGAAAAUAGACAUCUUUUAAAAAUAUUUAGGAGUGGGGCCAGGUGGGGUGGCACACACCUGUUAUCCCAGCAACCGAGAAGGUUAAGGCAAGAGGAUUGCAAGUUCCAGGCCAACCUUAGCAACUUAGUGAGGUCCUAAGCAACUUAGCAAGACCCUUUCUUAAAUAAAAAAUUUUAAAAGGCUAAGGAGGGGCUGGGGCUGUAGUUAUAGCUCAGUUGGUAGAGUGCUUCCCUAGCACGCACGUGUGAGGCACUGAGUUCGAACCUCAGCACCACGUAAAAAUAAAAUAAAGGUAUUGAUUGUGUCCAUCUACAACUAUAAAUUUUUUUUUUUUUUAAAUGAAGAAGGCUGGAGGGCUGGGGUUGUGGCUCAGUGGUAGAGCACUUGUCUAGCACUAGUGAGGCACUGGGUUCCUUGCCCAGCACCACAGUAAAUAAAUCAACAAAUAAACAAGAGUCUUCACAAAAGAAACACAAACAUUUCCACCAUCCCUAAUAGAUGCCCCAUAAUAGAUAAACCUAAAAACAAAAUCAACAAGAACAAAAACUUUUAAGAGCUAUAGAAAAACUUAUGUUCAAGACCUUGCAUGAGUUUAUAUCUGGCUGGAAGUCAAAACACACGGAGGUAGAUUCUGUUUAAGGAUCUGCACGUAAAACAGACAUUGCGUUUGGAAGGAGUCCACACUUGGGUUCCAAGAGAUCCCAACCUGUUUAAUGAGGUUUUCCAACUCCCAGGGCAUUGACUUUGACAAGCGCAUAUCCUUUGUUUUGGAAACAAGCAAGUUUUUGUACUUCUGCCAAGAGUGCUUUCUGUUGUAAAGACAGCCCGGGACACCAGCUGUGUGGUUCACCUGACUUCUCUACCUUGACGGUCAGCACACCGAUGUUUUUGUUUGUUUUUAGCAUUUCUAUGUAAGGAUUCCUCCCAUUUUCAGAGCCUUGGAGCUUAUCGGGAGGGUGGGUGGUUAGUGCAAACUACCCUGGGGGGAGAUUGCUUGUGGUCUUGCAUUUUAGUGGCUAGGACAGAGGACCCAGACUGAGGUCAAAAUUAUUAUGUGGAGAUUAAACCGUAGAAUUUAAUUAUGUGUUCUGUUGCUCCUGGUACAUUUAUUAAUUUAGCAGUACAAACUGACUGGAGCUAAACAAGCAGGACUGAUUAAUUUGCAAAGACAUCUAGGUAACAGAUGUGAUCAAAGUGGAGACCUGAUCCUGUUAGAUUGAAAUGUGUUGUUUUGUGCUGCAUGAAAGACAUGGAGCAGCAUGGUUUAUCUUUAUCAAUGCUCUCCUCUGAAGGAGGGGAACAGGCUUGCAGAUACUAAUCAGGGCUGAGGCCCUGCCACUCAAUAAUUACCCACUGUCUCAUCAUAAUCCCGGAACUAAGCCCCUGCCCAAUCCAUCUGGGACCCUUUUCCAUCUAUUGCACAGCUCAAGAAUAUGUGUGUAAGCUAUUACCUCUGGUUGUGCUAUCUGUCCCCUGAGUAUAGAUUCAUGGCAGUGACCAAUUAGGUUGCUGUGUUCUCUUUCCCCGCUUGCUUCAGAAGCAUCCUGUACUUCUCAGCACUGGUAAUGAAGCACAGAUGCAUCAGGGUGCAGAAAGCCACUCACCUAUAAAAGCUGUCUCGCCACAGUCGCUGAUAAGCAUCAUGUGAUUCUUAAUAUUGUGGGGGGUUUUGAAAAGAGGAGGUGGUGAGACCAUACCUCUGCAUCUUCAGUCUUCUCUAAGUCACUCUCAACCUGCUGCUGCCUUCUGCCAAGAACAAAUCACACACCGAGGAAAAUGUUCCUGACCCUAAUCCAGAAACCAAACAGCUGAGAAGUGAAGAGGGGCCGGGGUGGGGAUAAUUGAAUCCUGGAUUCCUGAAAGAGGAUCCAGUACUGGGCCUUGCUUAAAAACAUGGGACUCUGAAGUUCAAGAUUCUGUUCAGGUUCUGCUGUUAACCAGCCAGUCACAGCCUCUUCGAAAUUUCAUUUACCCUUGAUAGAAGAGUGUCUGACUCAUAAAGUUGCCUUCAGAGUUACCUGAGCUACUACAUAUAGCACUCAACUUUAUAGAUGAUAGAACCUCUAUCAAAGGUAGUUAGUCUUAUUGCUUUCUGAAUUCGUGUCAUAUUCAUGCCUGACUUUGUAUUUGAUAUUUGUAGCCAACAUCCCCCCACCAAUCUAGUUCUUUUUUAUUUUAUUUUUGGGGGUUACUGGGAAUUGAACAUAGGGGUGUUUAACCACUGAGCCACAUCCCCAGCCCUUUUUUAAAAAUAUAUUUUAUUUAGAGACAGGGUCUUGCUGAGUUGCCUCACUAAGUUGCUGAGACUGGCCUUGAACUCCUUGCCUCAGAUUCCUGAGCUGCUGGGAUUACAGGUGUGCACCAUCAUGCCCAGCGCCAAAUCUCAAACUGCAAGUCAUCCAUUAAUUAUUUGGGAUGUGUGCUUUUAUCUUCCAAAUUAAAGUAUACAUUCCUGAAGGGUAAAAUCCACGUCUUUAAAAAAAAAUGUGUAUAUCUCACUGGUGACAGUUAAUGCAUACUAAUUCUUAUACUGAAGAAAGCCUCAAAAAAUCUUCAGAGAUAGAUAAUGUUGAGGGAGAGAGGGACAAGCAGUCUGUUAUAAUUUUCUUUCUUUUUUUUAUAAAGAGAGAGAGAAUUUUUCAAUAUUUAUUUUUUAGUUUUCGGUGGACACAACAUCUUUAUUUUAUUUUUAUGUGGUGCUGAGGAUCGAACCCAGCGCCCCGUGCAUGCCAGGCGAGCGCACUACCGCUUGAGCCACAUCCCCAGCCCCAUAAUUUUCAAAUAAGGAAACGGAGACAGUGAUGUCCAUUGGGUCACCUAGCAGAGCUGCUGUUAUCAGUGGUAGAAAUUCACUGUUAUCGGAGGUAGAAUUUCAACUCAUUGCUGGUGAAAGAAUCUGCAGAGCCACUUUCGAGCAGCACCCACUCCAUCUUAAGCCUUAGGGGCUGUUUUCAGUGGACACUGGGUUGAGGCGCAGGCCCAACUCCUCAUUUGCCAAGACCCUGUUUCAGAUCUAUGCUGAUACCGACAGGAUUUUAAUUAGUUAAAUCUACCACUUGGCUCUUCUUGGUCUUCCCUGGCAGAGUGGAAAAUACAUGAAAAUAUGAAUGUUUCACAUUUACACUUCCAAAACACUCCUUCCCUGAUGAACCACCUUUUGGAAUUUAUACCGGCAGCUCUGACAGCUGUUUUCUAUUUAUUUCCAUGAUUGGCCCAUUUCAAUUUGGGGCUUUUAUUCAUUAUAUUAGCAAAUAUUUGUGAAAGGAUCAGGCAUGGGAUGAGGUAUGUUUGUCAGGAUUGUAAUUAAGGUGCUAUGUGUACCAGGGGUAGACAGGGAUGGGCUAGAUCCUCAACCCACACAAGCUGUGUUACUUUAAAAGACGUACAGACCUCUCUGGGCCACAUCUGGCCCACAGGUAUGUCGUGUAUAUGUUGUUUUGUUUGCACUGAUCCAAAAGGUAGAUAAGAAAGAAUUUGGAUAAAAAUUUAAAGAAUCUAAUACAUUAGCUUUUGGUAAAUUCCUUGCCUACAGCAUAUCCUAAAAUCCAUUUAUUUUUUAGACUGAUCUUUUUGAAGUGUAAUUUUAAGAAAUUAUAAUUUUAAGAAAUUAUAAUUUUAAGAAAUUAUAUCAUUUAAGAAAUUAUAUCAUUUAAGAAAUUAUAAUUUCAUGGAAUUUCUCAAAAGUUUUUAUUUAUUCACAUGGUAGGCCUGGAUCUGGUGAAAAGAAUAUAUUGAAAUUCCUUCUUUCUCUUUCAGAGCUUUCUCAAAUAGAGAGCUCUCUGGAGGUCUCAGCACCAUUUGCCAUUUUCAUAUUUUUUAUGUCUUUCUUUUUUCUCCUUUUUAGUAUUGAGGAAUGAACCCAAGCUCUUGCACAUAACAGGCACGCACUCUACAACUGAGCAACAUCCCCAGUCCUUUUAUUUUUUAUUUUGAGACAGGGUCAUGCUAAGUUGCUGACGCUGUCCUCAAACUUACAAUCCUCCUGCCUCAGGCUCCCAUAUUGCUGGGAUUACAGGCAUUGGCCACCAUGCCUGACUUUGUAUUUAAUUUUAAAGGCAGUGUACUGCAAGGAGGCUGGAUGCAAGAUACAUCCUACACUAAACUGCACUGUUAUUUAAGAUGUAAUAAAGUAGCAUAACAUUUUUAAA